Molecule: ribosomal RNA, 407 nt
Filed under: uncultured Couchioplanes sp.
Lineage: Bacteria; Bacillati; Actinomycetota; Actinomycetes; Micromonosporales; Micromonosporaceae
Description: bacterial SSU rRNA
Rfam family: Bacterial small subunit ribosomal RNA
Source: RNAcentral
UGGGGAAUAUUGCACAAUGGGCGGAAGCCUGAUGCAGCGACGCCGCGUGAGGGAUGACGGCCUUCGGGUUGUAAACCUCUUUCAGCAGGGACGAAGCGUAAGUGACGGUACCUGCAGAAGAAGCGCCGGCCAACUACGUGCCAGCAGCCGCGGUAAGACGUAGGGCGCGAGCGUUGUCCGGAUUUAUUGGGCGUAAAGAGCUCGUAGGCGGCUUGUCGCGUCGACUGUGAAAACCCGCGGCUCAACCGCGGGCCUGCAGCCGAUACGGGCAGGCUAGAGUUCGGUAGGGGAGACUGGAAUUCCUGGUGUAGCGGUGAAAUGCGCAGAUAUCAGGAGGAACACCGGUGGCGAAGGCGGGUCUCUGGGCCGAUACUGACGCUGAGGAGCGAAAGCGUGGGGAGCGAACA